AAUCAACGCUGGCGGCGUGCCUCAGACAUGCAAGUCGAACGAGAAAGUCCCCUUCGGGGGGUGAGUAAAGUGGCGCACGGGUGAGUAACACGUAGGUAAUCUACCUUCGGGUGGGGAAUAACCCAGGGAAACUUGGGCUAACACCGCAUAAUGCAGCGGCACCACAUGGUGACAGUCGUUAAAGCGGGGGAUUUUAGGACCUCGCGCCUGAAGAGGAGCCUGCGGCGGAUUAGCUAGUUGGUAGGGUAACGGCUUACCAAGGCGACGAUCCGUAACCGGCCUGAGAGGGCGGCCGGUCACACUGACACUGACAUACGGGUCAGACUCCUACGGGAGGCAGCAGUCGGGAAUUUUGGGCAAUGGGCGAAAGCCUGACCCAGCAACGCCGCGUGAAGGAUGAAAUCCUCGGGAUGUAAACUUCGCAAGAAUAGGAAGAAUUAGUAGGGCUAAUACCCUCUAUGAUGACGGUACUAUUUGUAAGCUCCGGCUAACUCCGUGCCA
Molecule: ribosomal RNA, 501 nt
Filed under: uncultured bacterium
Lineage: Bacteria
Description: bacterial SSU rRNA
Rfam family: Bacterial small subunit ribosomal RNA
Source: RNAcentral